GAUGAAGAACGUAGCGAAAUGCGAUACUUGGUGUGAAUUGCAGAAUCCCGCGAAUCAUCGAGUUUUUGAACGCAAGUUGCGCCCGAAGCCAUUCGGCCGAGGGCACGUCUGCCUGGGUGUCACGCAUCGUUGCCCCCCCAAACUCCGGUUCGGGCGGGGCGGAAGUUGGCCUCCCGUGCGUGCCUGCGCGCGCGGUUAGCCCAAAAGCGAGUCCUCGGCGACGAGCGCCACGACAAUCGGUGGUUUUUUUACCCUCGUUCCUCGUCGUGCGUGUCCCGUCGCCCGAACGCGCUCUUGCGACCCUCACGCGUCGCCUCGGCGGCGCUCCCAACGCGACCCCAGGUCAGGCGGGACUACCCGCUGAGUUUAAGCAUAUCAAUAAGCGGAGA
RNAcentral lists this unclassified non-coding RNA (389 nucleotides) under soil metagenome. RNAcentral's name for it is "partial contains 5.8S ribosomal RNA, internal transcribed spacer 2, and large subunit ribosomal RNA". The stretch from base 1 to 122 matches the Rfam family "5.8S ribosomal RNA", at positions 35 to 154 of the family's 154-position model. The record is from RNAcentral.